RNAcentral lists this ribosomal RNA (255 nucleotides) under uncultured bacterium. RNAcentral's name for it is "partial 16S ribosomal RNA". It matches the Rfam family "Bacterial small subunit ribosomal RNA", at positions 524 to 776 of the family's 1533-position model. The record is from RNAcentral.
UACGUAGGAGGCGAGCGUUGUCCGGAGUUACUGGGCGUAAAGGGUGCGCAGGCGGCGGUUCGCGUGGAUAGAUGAAAUCUCCUGGCUUACCUGGGAGGAUGGUAUCCAGACGGGAUCGCUUGAGGGUCGGAGAGGGGCGUGGAAUUCCGGGUGGAGCGGUGAAAUGCGUAGAGAUCCGGAGGAACACCGACGGCGUAGGCAGCGCCCUGGACGACACCUGACGCUGAGGCACGGAAAGCUGGGGGAGCGAACAGG